Molecule: transfer RNA, 88 nt
Filed under: Parasphingorhabdus marina DSM 22363
Lineage: Bacteria; Pseudomonadati; Pseudomonadota; Alphaproteobacteria; Sphingomonadales; Sphingorhabdaceae
Also listed under: 5 other names
Description: Sphingorhabdus marina DSM 22363 tRNA_Ser_GGA
Rfam family: tRNA
About the family: Transfer RNA (tRNA) molecules are approximately 80 nucleotides in length. Their secondary structure includes four short double-helical elements and three loops (D, anti-codon, and T loops). Further hydrogen bonds mediate the characteristic L-shaped molecular structure. tRNAs have two regions of fundamental functional importance: the anti-codon, which is responsible for specific mRNA codon recognition, and the 3' end, to which the tRNAs corresponding amino acid is attached (by aminoacyl-tRNA synthetases). tRNAs cope with the degeneracy of the genetic code in two manners: having more than one tRNA (with a specific anti-codon) for a particular amino acid; and 'wobble' base-pairing, i.e. permitting non-standard base-pairing at the 3rd anti-codon position.
Source: RNAcentral
GGAGUCGUGGCAGAGUGGUCGAUCGCGCACGCUUGGAAAGCGUGUAUAGGGCAACCUAUCGAGGGUUCGAAUCCCUCCGACUCCGCCA